GAUGAACGCUGGCGGCGUGCUUAACACAUGCAAGUCGAGCGAAGCGCUUUUGCGGAUUUCUUCGGAUUGAAGCAACUGUGACUGAGCGGCGGACGGGUGAGUAAACGCGUGGGUAACCUGGCCUCAUACAGGGGGAUAACAGUUGGAAACGGCUGCUAAUACCGCAUAAGCGCACAGUACCGCAUGGUACCGUGUUAGAAAAAACUCCGGUGGUAUGAGAUGGACCCGCGUCUGAUUAG
RNAcentral lists this ribosomal RNA (239 nucleotides) under uncultured bacterium. Its description in RNAcentral is "partial 16S ribosomal RNA". It matches the Rfam family "Bacterial small subunit ribosomal RNA", at positions 28 to 244 of the family's 1533-position model. The record is from RNAcentral.